GACAGCUUGCUGUUGGUGGAUGAGUGGCGAACGGGUGAGUAACACGUGAGUAACCUGCCCCUGAUUUCGGGAUAAGCCUGGGAAACUGGGUCUAAUACCGGAUAUGACCAUCCCUCGCAUGAGGGUUGGUGGAAAGUUUUUCGAUCGGGGAUGGGCUCGCGGCCUAUCAGCUUGUUGGUGGGGUAAUGGCCUACCAAGGCGACGACGGGUAGCCGGCCUGAGAGGGCGACCGGCCACACUGGGACUGAGACACGGCCCAGACUCCUACGGGAGGCAGCAGUGGGGAAUAUUGCACAAUGGGGGAAACCCUGAUGCAGCGACGCAGCGUGCGGGAUGACGGCCUUCGGGUUGUAAACCGCUUUCAGCAGGGAAGAAGCCGUAAGGUGACGGUACCUGCAGAAGAAGUACCGGCUAACUACGUGCCAGCAGCCGCGGUAAUACGUAGGGUACGAGCGUUGUCCGGAAUUAUUGGGCGUAAAGAGCUCGUAGGUGGUUGGUCACGUCUGCUGUGGAAACGCAACGCUUAACGUUGCGCGUGCAGUGGGUACGGGCUGACUAGAGUGCAGUAGGGGAGUCUGGAAUUCCUGGUGUAGCGGUGAAAUGCGCAGAUAUCAGGAGGAACACCGGUGGCGAAGGCGGGACUCUGGGCUGUAACUGACACUGAGGAGCGAAAGCAUGGGGAGCGAACAGGAUUAGAUACCCUGGUAGUCCAUGCCGUAAACGUUGGGCA
RNAcentral lists this ribosomal RNA (730 nucleotides) under bacterium SCSIO13072. RNAcentral describes it as "bacterial SSU rRNA". It matches the Rfam family "Bacterial small subunit ribosomal RNA", at positions 74 to 815 of the family's 1533-position model. The record is from RNAcentral.